RNAcentral lists this long non-coding RNA (318 nucleotides) under Panax ginseng (ginseng). Its description in RNAcentral is "long non-coding RNA (PGIN_LNC004239)". Lineage: Eukaryota; Viridiplantae; Streptophyta; Magnoliopsida; Apiales; Araliaceae. The record is from RNAcentral.
AAAACUCCCACUUGCUCUCUUUUUCCUAAUUCACAACCACCAUCCCCAAAUCCUUUUGUGAAUCAAACACCUACACUCCCACGUUCGGAUUCAUCACACCAACUCUAAUCCAAAUAUUUUCUCUCACCCAUAAUCUCCUCUACCCACUCUCUCAUGCACAAAGUUUAACCACUCAAAUCAUAGUUCUCUCUACCCCACGAUCCUAAUCCUAAUCCUCCAUCUUCACCAUCUUUACACCCACAAUCAGGGAUUCGUUAUACAUUGAGGCAGCAAAGUAUAGAGGAGCAAGGCAUAAGGGAAGCAAAGGCUUGCACUAAG